Molecule: long non-coding RNA, 2135 nt
Filed under: Prunus dulcis (almond)
Lineage: Eukaryota; Viridiplantae; Streptophyta; Magnoliopsida; Rosales; Rosaceae
Description: sRNA ncRNA
Source: RNAcentral
CAGGUCCCUGAACGCAGGGUGGUGGCGAUCAGGUUUCGCUUUGUGUAGAUUAUCGGAUUUGUUGUUUCUCUUCUUCUGUUUGGGUUUGAUUCUAUGCUUUCGAUAUCGAUAUCGAUGGCUUAAGUUUUGUUAUCGCUAUGCUUUAGGUUUUGGUGAUGGAUUUUGCUAACCGAUUAAAAGUUGGAUCUAAUGACCUUCGAAGGUUGUGACGAUAUAAAGAACCAGAGAUUGUGUAUAUUUGCAGGCUUGUUUUAUUGGUUCAGAUGAGACCCAAACGACAUCGUUGAUCAUGUGACGUAGGUGUUUGGAUUUGGAUCUUCUCGUUGUUUUCUAUAGAUAUAGAUUGUUGAUUUGAGGCUGAAGCUCAUCUUUAUUGAUAUGCUUAUGAGUUUUGAUUGGGAUGAUGAAUGCCAGGGCAUCGUGUAUUCGGUACCUGGUUAUGCUUGCGUUUUGAUUUGCACGAAAACCUCAUCGAUUUACCUUCUAUGGGAGAUCUUUCGUUUACCUCCUUUGAUUUUAUUCUGAAGUUUACAAUAUAAUGAUUUGGAAAUUUCCCUCGUUUUUUAUCAAUCAAAUAAGCGGAGCUUUGCUGUUAUUUUUCAGGCCUCGUUUGCGGUGUUUGACACACGAGGGUUAGAUGUUUGGUUAGCUGAUGACUCGAUAGGUUCUUAUGGGAUCUGAUUGUGGAUGGCUAUGAGGUUGUAUUUUUUUACUGUUUUGCGGAUGCAAUGGAAUGUUGAAUUUCAAAAUUGUCUAUCCGGAUCUAUUGGUUUGCAGGAGAUAUAAUAAUAGUAUUGCGGAUGGCUUUGAGCUUAUUACUGCACAUUUGUUGUCUUUGGAUAGAGCGUAGUGCACUCCAUUUGUAAAGGUUUUCAUUGGUUUGUUGCAUAUGGAUUAUUGUUUUUGGUUACGUGCUUAUUCUUUUACAGUUUGUCAAAAUGCGCGUCUUUAUAUAUCUUUCAAGUCCCUGAAAUUUGUAAGUAAUAUCAUGUUUAUGUCCUCCGCCUUUUCCCUAUGAUCAUGCCGAACUUUCUGCUCUUAUAUUGACAUACUAAAUCCAGAAUUCGUGUUAACCUUCUUAGUUCGUAGCCUUUCAUUUCGAUGUGUUUCUUGUUUUUUGGGUAUGUUCUAAACGGGUUUUUAUGUCCUCAAUUUUGGCUUUCUAUUGAUUUUCUCAGUUGGAAUGAAAGGGUCUAUUUUAAUUUUUUUUCUUGUCUCAAAGAUAUAGUAAUUGUUUUUUUUUUCAGAGAUAUAAAGUUAUUCAAUGUUCUGAUUACAGACCCUGAGUAUUUCUCACUUACCUCUUUAUUGCCAUGUAUUUGAUCAGUAUAUUUUGCCUUAUGGUCUUCAAGCUAUUAAUAAUUACAACCAUAAGUGGGUUGGCGCUUACCUUUUAUGUUAUGUUUUUUUUAAAAAGUUUAUUCAAUGGUUUUCAUUGCAUAUAUUUGGGCUUCGAAUUUGUAUAGCAGUGUGGUUAGGUAUUGUCUUGAUGAUUCACUAAUUUUGUGAUUAAAGUGCUUAUGGAGACUAAGUUGGAUGGAGCCAAAAGUUUAUGACACUGUUAUGGGGAGCUAUUCUGGUUUGGUUGACAUGUUAAAAUCUUUUUCUUUUAAUAUUUUAAUUUUUUUUAUACAACUCUCUCUCUCUCUCUCUCUCUCUCUCUCUCUCUCUCUCUUUUUCACCCCAAAAUUAAUAUUAGUUGCUAUGUAUUUCUCAGGUUUCUUAGGUUGGUUUCGAAUUGGCAUACUACCUAAGGGGGGUUUUAAUGUUGUUGCCUUUCGUUUCCCAUUUAAAUUUUUUAUUAAAUUUGGUACUGAUAUUUUAGUAAUAUCUUAUGGAGAUGCAACCUAAUUUUUGUCUUAGGGACAAAGUUUCACCAGGGGAAAACAGUUUGAGAGCUUGUGGCCGCUGGUUUUGUUUGUUCCCCUUCAUUGGUUUCUUACUUUUGUUACUCGUUCAAUAUCGUGAAUUCUGUGGUCUGUCUUUCUGUCCACAUUAUGUAGUGAUUAUCAGGAUUUUGAGCAGUUCCUGGGGUUACCUUGUUUGGUGAUUUUUUUUUUUGUGUGUGCAGGAAUUUGGUUUUUAACGCCACAGUUAAUAAAGGAAGUUGAAAUAGGUUAUUGGGAGAACAUGUU